GGCGUCUCUGCUGAGUCUGCUGCCCCCGCGACCCGGUCCCGGAUAAGCAGAAGACGACGAGUACGAGUACGAGUACGAGAUUUCUGCUGGUAUCUGCUCUCCUUUGCAGGAGGCAAACUCCAUCAACAAGUCUCUCAGUGCCUUGGGCGAUGUGAUCUCAGCUUUGUCUGCAGAGCUGCCACAUGUACCGUACAGGAACAGCAAGCUCACACAGGUUAUGCAGGAUUCUUUGGGUGGAAAUGCCAAAACCCUCAUGAUUGUCAACAUCUCUCCAUCAGAAUACAAUAUUGACGAAACUCUCACAUCUCUCAUUUAUGCAACGAGAGUAAAGGCCAUAACUAACAAUGCUCAGAGGAAUGUGGACAGUAAAGAGAUCGCCCAGCUUAAGGAGGUCAUCAUGAAGCUGAAAUCUGGACAGACAGUGGAAGAGAUGGAUGUUUAAGGGGUGCUGUACUGCACAUUUAGUUUUAUUGAGCAGUCUUGUAAUUUUUUAAUCAAACUUUACUCAUGCAUACCUAAUAGCAUAUGUUUAAAAAUCAUUAAAUAUUUGAUGAAGAUGGAGGGUUUCACAAUGCUGAGAAGCAACAUUUGCUUUCUGGAGAUUGCAAGCUGUUUGUACAUGGAUAUUGAUGCAUUGAUCUAUAGAACAAAGCUCCCACAAUUCAGGCUUCUACGUGUCUAAAGGAUGAUACAAAGAGUUUGCACUUCAUACAUGGCGAAGGACAAUUUGUUGUAUGUCUGAGAAAUUAAAUGCAAAAAGCAGAUGUUCUGUUUAUUUAACAAUCAGAUUUACUACCUUAGACUGAAAGGCUUUUUUUAGGGUUUUCUAUCAAUUUGAUAGAAGAAAGGCUGGAAAAUCUGUAAAGUAAAAUGAUCAUCUUGUAU
Girardinichthys multiradiatus is the source of this 885-nucleotide long non-coding RNA. RefSeq lists it as uncharacterized. Lineage: Eukaryota; Metazoa; Chordata; Actinopteri; Cyprinodontiformes; Goodeidae. The record is from RefSeq and is a predicted model, not a curated record. The transcript is spliced from 4 exons.